AGUGGAAAUGGAGGUUUUAUUCAUUUGCAAUUGCAAAUGUAAAAUGUCAUAUAGAGUGUUGUUAUUUUUACGCGGCGGAUAAAUUUGUUUGUUUUUCACGUUAACCUUUAAGUAGUUUGAUUUAUUCGAACUUUAUCUCUGAUUCGAACAUCGUCUUCUAACAUGACAAUAAAAUUUAGUUAAUAUACAAAAUUUUUUUGUGAUCGUAAACUAUAAACCGAUACUGUGCGUAAUAAGACAUGAAAUAACUAAUAUUUUUGGUUAUUGGCUUGGAAAGUAUUGUAAUUCACUUCUCUACUUUCAAAGCAGUGGAGUAAGAGCAAAUAAUAUUGAAGAGUGUAACCUGUUUAUACACAAGUAUUCGUUGACUUAAAAUGUGAAAAUUUAGCCUAACUCAAAAGUUGUUAUUUGUACAACAUGCUUUAAAACAAAAUAUAAAACUAUUACAAAUAGUAAAGUGGUUUAUUGUGCAAAUCUUCGUUAUUUAAAAGUUGGUUCUAAUGGAAAAAAAAAAAAAGGAAAAAUAUUUUUUAAUUACCGCCUAGACUGUGAAAAAGAUAAUGUCAACUCUUUGAUUUACUGAGAACAAAAAUAAAGAUGUCGUUAACGAAAAAGGAUCCAACGCUGCGAGUUGCUGCCAAUGAUCCGCAUUUGGUCAGUUUGGGAGGUGGACGUUUGAGCACAGCUGUUACCAUACAUUACAUACCCAUAGGUGAUAUGACUAUUGGCUCGGCUUCCACUUGCAGUAUAUCUUUGAAUGGUAGUGGGGUCCGAUCGAUUCAUUGUACAAUAUAUCGCAGUGAGGAGAACGAAGUGACAAUAGUACCAGAACAGGAUGCCCGUAUACUGAUCGACGGCACGAAGAUCACGCAUGAGACGAACUUAACGCAGGGCGCUAUGAUCACCAUUGGUAAUUCCAAUUAUUUGCGGUUCAAUAAUCCCGCCGAGGCUCAGUUGAUACGUUCUACUAUGGGUUCGAAUGAACGUAUUUCAAUGCCCCAAAUAGACUUCACUCAAGUGCCACGACGCGAUUCCACGAAAAGCCUUAGCUCCAGCAAUGGAAGUGCAGAUGUGCGCCAAUCGUUAGCCAUUGACUCGUUCUACGAGGAACAUAUUAGCCCUAUGUCAAUGUCGAUGAGUAGAGAGACCACGAAAAGUAUGCUAGGCAGCGAUAAAUCGUUGUACCACAACGUGGCUCUAGCGCCGAUCGACAUCAAUGGCUUACAUUGCCCGAAGGUUUUCGCCGCUGACUUGGUGACGGUGAAUAUGCCAGCCAAGGAUGUUUUGGGUCAGAAAUAUGCAAACUUUGCAAAGAAUUUGGCUGAAAAUCAUCGCAACGACAAGAAUGCAAGUCCUGUACGCAAUAAUCAAUUAAACAAUAGUGUAAGGGGAGGAGCCCAAAACAGCACAGGGAAUUAUGUUAAUAUUCCGAGCACGUCGAAUUUCAUACAAAAUACAAGUACAUGUGGAAGUGGAAGUGGUGAGUUUUUGGCAAAGGUUAAUAAUACGGCACCAUUACGCACCGUCAAUAGUGCGAACCAUCACAACGUGUCUGCUUACGAUCGCUAUCCGAAGCCCGGCACCUAUGGUGGUUUACAAAUCUAUCCAAUGAACGGAGUCAAUACUGAAAUUAAUAGCAAUUCGGCAAACUCAUCGCCGCUGCAUCGUUUGCAGUACGAGAGCUCACCAAGCAUGCAGCGUAGAAAUCUCUCGAACCUUAGUACUUCAGAGAACGAAUGCCUUGAGGAUAUGCUAAAAAUAUGUACCGAAUAUUCCGAUCGACAAAAUCAGAGUUGUGCUGCUUCUCUUACUUCCUCACCUAUAGUUCAAAACCGGAUAAAAACAAAUGGUUCACUGCCACGUGACAAAAAGUCUCCCUUCUACUUCGACCUAUCUGGUUCGCAACUUCAACAAUCUGUCUCAGGUAGUAGUAAUAAUCUCAGCACCCAAACACAUAACGGUUCAAACUCCGUCUCCAGCUCCUCUGGUUACGAGAACGUUCGUUUAGUGAGUCAGAAUCGAAUAGAAAUUGGUGGGCAAACAGAAGGACCCACUUCACCGAAGACAGGUUAUGAAAAUGUCGUUAUCGGCAAGUAUGUGCCACAAAGUCCUCGCACCAAAAUUAGAACGACCUGUAUGUCACCGAAAAAGGAGCAUUCUUUCAGUAGUGUGUACGGUCAAGCGCCUAUUGCAGCAAAACCUCCCCCAGUGGCACCGAAGCCUUCAAAACAUAGUGAAUAUGAGCAACUUAUCAAGACUUUUGAGGAGAAACUUAAAUUAGAAAUGCAAGCCAUCGAGGAGAGCAGUCGAUAUCAGUCAACUAACGCCGUGAAAUCCAUAUCGGCUUCCGCUGAACAGUCGCCAGCAAAACGUACGAAUAAAAAUGUCAACAAUCUCACAUUGAACUUACCCGAAUCGAAUUCGUUGCAAAAUUCGCCCAAACUACAAAAGAAACCAGCACCUGCACCACGAAUGUUUUCGAGAAGCGCAUUAGCGAGCUUUAAUAAAAGUGGCAGCGCUAAAACUAUUGAUUUACAAAAAGCAGCUGCGUCUGUGCGAAAUGAUGUUGAAGAAGCAUUGAAAUCCAAGCUGGUUCUGAGUGGCUGCGAAGACAUUGAUCAACUUAAGCUGAAAAGAAAACAGAAUUUGAUGCGAAUCCAUGAGUUGAAGAAUGAAAUAUCCGAACUGCAAAAGCAGGAAUCGGAGGAACUAAGAGAGUUGGAUAUGGAAAAGGCGCUGGUGAAUGCAGAACUGAAUUCCGUUGGUGGCUCGGUGGGCGAGUUGGAGACGCAACUUGAGCUUUUGCAAAACAAGAUUCAUCGUUUUGAAGCACAACGAAACGCUACACGAGUAAUGGAGGAGAAUCAGCAGGCUAAAUUGAAACAAUCAAUUGAAAUGAAGCAAGAUCAAGUGAAGAAGCUAAAGUCGAUGUUACAACAGAAACCGAGCAAUGAUUGCCUCAAGGAAGAACUGCAUAAUGUAAGUGAGUCGCUGGAGAAUGACCGAAAGACGUUUGAAGACUUAGAGUUCCAAUAUCUGGAAGAAGAAUCCGAGUGGCACGCUUACCGGGAGGAGCUGCACAACGAAGAAGCGAAUUUAAGUGUGAAAAUAAAAGAAAAACGCAUUGAACUGCAACAUCUAGAGAGACAGGACUUGGGCAAUAUAUCGGUACAUGCAAAAACUUUAAAAUCAAAGUUAGUGAGUGCAUGUAAUUCGCUUAAAAUAGAAAAGGAAUACCUAAAAGCGGUAGAAAACAGUAUUUGUGAUAUAACUGGCGAUUUAAAGGUUAACUCAUCCGAAGAAGAUAUCAGCACGACAUCUUCCGCUUCACCGAUAUUGCACAACAAUCUGGCAGCGGGUAUUAUGUCACAAUCUCUCUUUGGCUCCGCCGAAUUGCUUUGUCCAAAGCGUACCACUGAGGAUGUAAUGUCGAAAAGCGUAAAUGAGAAUAUGUUUUAUAAUAACAAAAUCGAACUGCCAUCGCAAGCACCAGUCACAAGUACUCCGAAACGUAAGCAACUUUAUGUAGUUGACAUUGAUGAUGCCACAAGUGAUAUGCGGAGGUGUACUGAAGUUGAGGCAACUGCCAUGUUGAAUGGCAAACUUGACGUGCCAAAUUGUGAUCAGCACGAUGAGCGGGUAAAAUUUAAUCUUUCGUUGGGCAACGAUGAUUUUGAAGUAAAUCCGCUGGAACGUCGUGUGCCUUCCCAGGAUGAUAUUGAUCGCAUAUGUAAAGUGACUAGUAGUGCACCGAUAUCAACAAAAGGUGCUAGUACUAGAAUAUUUGAUAGUAUCAAGGAAAUUGAACGAAAUCGUCAAUUGCUGCUGGCCCAGCAAGGUCAUCACGUGAUCGAGCAUGAACGCCAGAAAAUCAUUGAUUUGAAAAAAAAAUGCCAUGAUGAAGCACGCGCCCAAUAUCUUCUAAAACUGAACAAUGACGAAAAAGACAAUAGCGGCAAUAAUGCCCUGAGCAAUUCAAAUCAAGCUGAAAUGCGAGAGCUCCAAUGCAUUGAAAGCGAUGAAACUAAUGUAUGUUCCACCAAAGAGGCCCAAUCGGGCGUGUGUUCGUCACAAAAGAAGAACUCUACAUUCGGAAACGGAAAAACUCUUUCUCCACGGAUUGGAGUUCAUGAGGGAGUGAAUAAAAUACAAGCGGAUAGAUCUAGUCAGAAUUUGUUUUCCUGCCAAUACUACUCGUAAGGAAAUAUAAAAGCGGGCGAAUUGUUAUUCACCAAAAUACAUACAAAAUUACUCGCCAAUUUGUUCAGAGCAUGAAACCGAACAAGCGUAAUUGAGGAGUAAAUAUUUACUUCCGCAGGCGGUUGUUAAACAGAUUCUGCGAAUUUAAGUUUUAUUUCAUUAUGCUUCAUUUAAUUUUGGCCACGGAAUGGUGAAUUAUUAAAUAAUACAAAUUUAAUUUGCUUUUCUGAGAUAGUAGUAUUAGAAACAUAUAGACAUAUGUGUAUUCAUCAAUGAAUUAUACUACAAAUUAAGCAAGCACACUACAUUUAGGUGGUUCCGUGCACUGAAGGGGUAUGUAUAAAAUCUCUUAAUCUUAACCGUUCUAAAAUGUUUGUUUCAAUUUGUUUGCGAUUAAUACAUACAUAUUUUAAAAUUUCAUUUAAAUCAUACCUAACUUUAACACCAAAAGCUGUUAAUUGGUUUUCAAUUGUGUUAAUCUUGAAUUACCACAUUUUCUAGUAUUUCACAUAAACAUCGCGGAAGGGCAAAACACGAAAAAUAUUCAUACAUAGACAGUAUUUAAGCUUGUAAUGAACAAAUGUACGUUACAAUAAUUUAAAUAUGUAUAAAAGUACAUAUUUUUUAGAGUGGUCUAAUAUGUGUAGACCUACCCUAAUCCCAAUGCAAAUAUUAUUUAUUACUCAUAAUUUUUUAGAGCGGGAAAUUCUUCAAUAAUAAGGAGAAUUGGUGGAAGCGCUAUGCAUGUGCCCGUCGAUAUAAUGUUUAUAUACAAUACGCGCAAGUUCUAUUUCUCAGAUAGUCCACUAACUCUUACUCAUCGCUGAAUAUUUUUAAAUGAUAUAUCUGUGUCGGAAAAGUUUGCCAUGUUGGAAAUAUUCGCCAAAGUUUUACCUCCUAAUGCUUGACAUUUGCUGUACUCAUACAAAGUAAGGUGAACGAUUUGAUACAAAAACAAAGAGAAAGCAGGUAUAAUGUAUUUCAAUGAACAGUAAAAUCGUUUCAGUAUCGUCAUAAAAUCACUCAACAAAUAUAUAUAUAAAUAACAGUAAACCUGCAAUAAUAUAUUGUACCUAAAGAACCUUCAAAUGAGUUGCUUUUCAUUUCUAUCACUGAUGCUCAAAUGAGUACACGCGAUGUUGAAUUUUCUAAGCAAAGUUUGUAAUUGUUGUCUCCUGCAUUUGGCCUACACAUCUCUGGACAACAUCCGCCAAUUUGUGCGCAUGGAUAUGUAUGUGAGACACUUAAAUACACUUGAAUUUGCGCUAGGAAAAUUAUUCUCAGUUUAAAUGGCAAAAUGAUCGCACGAAUAUAAAAAUUUCAGUAUUUAUUAACUUCUCACAGUGUUCGGAUGCCUAGAACAUAUAUAUAUUAUAUAAAUAUUGAUGCAUACGUGCAAAUGUUUAUUCAUUGCGAUAAAUGUGAAUUUAUUGAAUUAAAUUUUAGAAAGCAUACGCGUCGUGUACAAAAACGAAUAAAGAAUUAAAGCAAAAAAAAAAAAAUUAUCUACAUAUAUCAACAACAAAUUAAAUAGAAAUUGUAGGGUCGACCAUGUCAGUUUGGAUGAAUUAUGUGAAGCAUCGUCAUGCAGACUCAAACAAACGUUAUAAAACUGAGUGCUACUAUCAACAACGUCACUCGCAGCCUGAAUUUGUAGAAACACAACUACGUCAAUCGCCAUCCAGUCCACGGCCACUAUCAGAGGCCAAUUCGGAGUUGAGUUGCAAUUUGCUAGAGGGCGACCACAAAGGCACGUGCAAGUCAAACUUUGAAUUGUCCACCGUGUCGCCAAAUGCCGCCACAAAAGUAAACAAUGUAUACUCCACCGAGCGCAUAUCCAACGACGUCGCCGAGGCGAGCAACAAGCGUUCGAGCGUCAAUUCCAACGAGACUACGUCAGGCGGUAGCGUCAACGGUAGUGCGCAUGGCGAUCGGAAACGUGCUCUUCCCAAACAUCAACGUCCGUUGACACGCUAUCUGCCAAUCUUUUCUCCGGAUCUUAAUUUGCGCCAUCACAUAGAGUCGGCUGGGCACCAGAUUACGCUAUGCCCGCACGUCUUUGUCGAUGCCUUUAGUUGUCGAGGUUAUUUGCAUAAAUUGGGCGCUACUUUCCACGGCUGGGCUCGGCGAUGGUUCGUACUUGAUCGCCAGCGAAGCGCUUUCAUCUAUUACGCGGAUAAAUCGGAGCGGAAACCCAGAGGAGGUGCCUACUUUUCGACAAUAGACGAAGUGUAUUUGGACCAUUUAAAUGCAUCGAAAAGUGGACGUCCACAUUGCACAUUAAUCGUUAAAACCAAGAAGCGCAGCUAUCAUCUGCAGGCGGCAUCAGAUGCUGCGGCAAGAAUAUGGAUCGACGCCAUUAUUACUGGCGCUCAAGGGAAUUUAGACUACUAAGAAUAGAUACUUCUACCGUAAAUAAUAAGUUACUUAAAUUACGUUUGCAAAUUAGCAUGUUUUAAGGCCGCAGAAGUAAUCGCUAAGUGUAAGAAACUCUUGUCUACCAUAUGCGAAGUUGCCCAAGUUACUAAUGAAGAUUAAACUACUGCUCACACAUACCUUGUAUGAUUAUAGGAAUUUAACAAAUAAUCGACUAAUUAAAAAAUUUAUGACCGUAGCUUUUAAAUAGGUUUAAGCUAGUUAUAAGUGUUGAAUAAGUGAAAUUAUAGCUCAAACCUACAAGCAACAAAUUGGAAACAAUAAAAAAAAUGACAGCUAUUCCGGAGUAUAUACUUGAGUAAAGUACUGAGAUCAUCCUAUUAAACUAAUCAAAUAUAAAUAUGUUUCUAAAUAUGAGUGCCUUUCCAAUAAUUUGCAAUGACUGUGUUUCUAAUUUCGUUGCUUUUUGAAGGAAAUUUUAUUUUCGAAUUCAGUUUUCAUAUACACCACUAAAGUAUACAUACAUAUUUAUAUGGUAUAUUAUAGUUUUAUAAUUCAUAUUUUGUAUUAAGGCAAGUAUUUUUUCACUAACUUGGUAGAGUAAAAAUUUUGAAAACUA
Molecule: non-coding RNA, 7195 nt
Organism: Bactrocera oleae (olive fruit fly)
Lineage: Eukaryota; Metazoa; Arthropoda; Insecta; Diptera; Tephritidae
Source: RefSeq, a predicted model, not a curated record